UACGUAGGGUGCGAGCGUUGUCCGGAAUUAUUGGGCGUAAAGAGCUUGUAGGUGGCUCGUUGCGUCGGGAGUGAAAACCCGCGGCUUAACCGCGGGCCUGCUUCCGAUACGGGCGAGCUAGAGUUCGGCAGGGGAGACUGGAAUUCCUGGUGUAGCGGUGGAAUGCGCAGAUAUCAGGAGGAACACCUGUGGCGAAAGCGGCUCACUGGACCAUAACUGACGCUGAUGCACGAAAGCUAGGGGAGCAAACAG
RNAcentral lists this ribosomal RNA (252 nucleotides) under uncultured bacterium. RNAcentral's name for it is "partial 16S ribosomal RNA". It matches the Rfam family "Bacterial small subunit ribosomal RNA", at positions 524 to 775 of the family's 1533-position model. The record is from RNAcentral.